Molecule: ribosomal RNA, 585 nt
Filed under: uncultured archaeon
Lineage: Archaea
Description: bacterial SSU rRNA
Rfam family: Archaeal small subunit ribosomal RNA
Source: RNAcentral
GGGUCGCAAGACCCCGGCGUACCGCUCAGUAACACGCGGAUAAUCUACCCCCAGGUGAGGUAUAACCUCGGGAAACUGAGGAUAAUCCCUCAUAGUUAUCAUAUGCUGGAAUGCUUUGAUGACGAAAGCCUUUACGCCUGAGGAUGAGUCUGCGGCCUAUCAGGUCGUAUGUGAUGUAAAGGACCACAUAGCCUAGGACGGGUACGGGCCCUGAAAGGGGGAGCCCGGAGAUGGACUCUGAGACACAAGUCCAGGCCCUACGGGGCGCAGCAGGCGCGAAAACUGUGCAAUGCGCGAAAGCGCGACACGGGAAACCUGAGUGCCUUGACAAUGUCAAGGCUUUUCUUAAGCCUAAAAAGCUUAAGGAAUAAGAGCUGGGCAAGACGGGUGCCAGCCGCCGCGGUAACACCCGCAGCUCGAGUGGUGGUCACUUUUAUUGAGCCUAAAGCGUUUGUAGCCGGUUUUGCAAAUCUUCAGAUAAAUUCCUCUGCUUAACAGAUGAUCUUCUGAAGAGACUGCGAGACUUGGGACCGGGUGAGGUUGAAGGUACUUCCGGGGUAGGGGUAAAAUCCUGUAAUCCUGGAA